This is a non-coding RNA of Cricetulus griseus (Chinese hamster), 3141 nucleotides long. The record is from RefSeq and is a predicted model, not a curated record. NCBI's taxonomy places the organism in Eukaryota, Metazoa, Chordata, Mammalia, Rodentia, Cricetidae.
ACCGUCCUCUCACCCCUCCCUUCUGUCCCCCUCUUCCUUCUGUGGUCAUUGCUUCUCACAGACUGCUCUAUUGCUAUCAUGUGAUCAGUGGUCCACUCCUACCAUCCAUCCCUUUCUUCUCUUGCUUUGUAAUGUUCCAGGAAAAAGUUUGCUCUGCAUCUCAUAAAUGCAGCUUAUUCCCUUGUCUUUUUAUUUACUUCUCUUGCCCUCACCACCCACCUCUGACCAUCAGAUCUCAUUUGGAAUUAUUCACUUCCGCAGGGCAGCCUCUACUGGGCCAUGCUGACUGUAGUCACAUUUUAUCCCGUAGUUUUCCAGCUUAUAUUUGCUCCAUUUUUUAUUUCUAUUUAUUUUAUUUUAUCUGUCUGCCUGUCUAUAUCCCACACAUGGAGGUAUAUAUAGUCCCUUGUGAUGUAAUGAUGUUUUUGUUUUUUAAUUGGGCUUGUAGUGUUUUUUAAUUGGGCUCCAGUAUUUACUGGGACCUUACCAUGCCAUUGGUAUGCAAGGUCUUGGAGCUGGAGAGAUGGCCCAGUGGCUAAGAGCACUUGCUGCUCUUCCUAAAGACCCAAAUGGUGGCUCACAACCGCAAUUCCAGUUCCAGGGGAUCUGAUUCCCUCUUCUUGCCUCUGAGGACUUCUGUGCACACAUGGUACACAGACAUAAAUGCAGGCUAAACAUCUCUGUACAUAAAAUGAAACUAAAAGGGCUCAGGGAAAGUGUCUUUGCUCUUACCUGAGAGCAAUGAGAAGUGACCCGGCGAGUAGCUGCCAGGGUGAUGGGGGACACAACAGAAGGAAAGUACUAAGAAGAUGGACAGAAAAAGUACAUUGGUGUUAUUUUAUUCCCUCCUUGAUGCUGUGAUAAAAUACUCUGUCAGAAGCAACUUAAAGGAGAAAGGGUUUUAUCUUGGCACACAGUUCACAGCCCAGUCAUUAUGGAAGGAAGAAGUCAAGACAUCUUGAAGUAUCUGGUCACAUCACAGUGACAGCAGGGAAGCAGAGAAUGGCAAGUGUGUACACAGCUCACUUCUUCCUUUCUAUACUGUCCAGAUCCCAACCAGGGAAUGAUGCCAAGCACAGUGGGCAAAUCUUCCCCUAUGAGUUAACUAAGUCAAGACAAUCCCCUCAGGCAUGCUCAGAAACCCAUCUUCCUGGUGUUUCUAGAUUUCAUCAAUAAUUGAAAUUAAUCAUCAUAGAAAACCAGUGACUGGCUAGAAGCUAGUUGUGUAGUGGGUGCUUGGUAGACAUGGACCAGCUGUUCUGAUUUGCGUCUAUAAAAUGGAGCUAAUGAAACCUCCCACAGAGGGGCGUUGACAAGAGGAAAGCUCACAGUAUGGUGUUUAACUUUUGAGGCACUAAUAUAGAAUUCAUGUACUGUUGUCCUGUUGGUCCAUUGUGUGUCCUUUAGAUACUGGCUCCUGCUUUAGCAAUGUUGUACACUUUAGAUUGUCAGUACUUGAGAGGUAAAGAAUGCCAGCCAUCAUUCAGUAAAAGUAUCUAAUACCUGAGCCAGGUGUGAUGGUACACACCUUUAAUCACAGCACUUGGGAGGCAAAAGUGGAGGGAUCUCUGUAAAUUUGAGGCCAGUCUGGGUCUAUAGAGUGAGUUCCAGAACAGCCAGGGUGACAUAGUGAUACCCUGUCUCAAAAAACAAACAAACAAAAAUAACAACAACAACAAAAAAAAACACAAACAGAAUGGCAACUCUUCUCUGGCUGAUGAGUGCUGUAGUUUGAAUGUGUUCCCCAAGAGUUCAUGUUGGAAGCUUAGUCCCCUAAGUGUUUUUUAGAGGUUGUUAGGGUGAGAUUAGGUAAAGUGAUGAGAGUAUCGACCCAUGAUGCAUUAGUCACUCUAGAAGCAGAGAGUCUUGCCCUAGAGCACUUGUUCUAUCUUCCCAUAUGAUCCCCUCUGCCAUGUUCUGAUGAAACAAAGCUCCUCUCUAGCCACCAAGCCAGUGUCAGCACCGUGGAGUUCCCACAAUUCAGCCUACUGCUUACAGAUACUCAGUCUAGGUGCUGGCUCACUGUAUGCCUAAGCCAUAGUCCUUUUUCUAUGAGAGAAGAUGGGGGGAAGAAAGGAAGAAUGGACCCUAGCCAUCUCCACCACUCCUCAAGGAAUACAGCAACUUCCUGUUGGGUGCAGAUAGAUGUGAGUCCCUUAUGGUCUCCCCUGGGAAAACUCUGUAAAUGACCAUAGUUACUAUAAUCAAAACAGCUUUUGUUUGGCCCAAGUGGCUUUGUGUUAAAAUGUGAUAUCAAAAGUGUCUACUCCCAGUGGGAGUGGUGGUGGCAUUUGGGAGGCAGAGGCAUGUGGAUCUCUGAGUUCAAGGCCAGCCUGGUCUACAGAGCGAGUUCCAGGAUAGCCCAGAGUACACAGAGAAACCCUGUCUCAACCCCCCCCCCCCCAAAAAAAAAGAAAAGCUAUGUACUCCUUGUUGAAGUUAGUUUCCUGAGGAAAAGCACUGUGUCUAGGUGGAAGAAAAGUCUUGGGUGAGCAUUUACUAAUGGAGAACCUCUAAACAUAAUAUCUGAAAGGACAGAAAAUGUUAAUUUAACUUCCUUCCUAGGUCUAGUUGGGUAUGAUUUAAGUAAGGCAAGAAAUGUAGAAUGCCUGCCCUGAGGUUUCUACUUUUAGAGUAGCUGUGAGAGCGAUAGGAGGAAUCCAAAGAAAUGUCUGGAGAGUCGAUACAGGGAUUCUGCUUCUAUGAGUAGAGCAUUAGUGAGGAACAUGGCCAGUAUUCCAUAGACGAAAAUGGAUCACACAUGUUUAUUUAAGAGUGUCUAAAAGAAGACCCUUAAAUUUGGGGGUUUCUCUUCUGCUUUAGGAUGUCAGGGGUUUAUUCAAUAUAUAGAACAUAAAUAUAACCUGAGGUUAAAAACUUCUGUUUUUCUUUUCUGUCUUUAAAAAAAAAAAAACAAAGUCUCUAUUAUGUAGCUCUGGCUGUGUUAGAACUCACUCUGUGGACCAGGCUGGCUUGGAACUCACUGAGAUCUGCCCACUUCUGCCACCUGAACGCUGGAAUUAAAGAUCCAGAGUCUGGAAAACUGAAGACCACUGAACCUGGCAUUGGGCUAGGACUUUGUUGAUGUGCCAUCCUGCAGGGGAGACCAGAAAGAUGAGAGAAUAAAGGCCCCUUGCCAAA